Long non-coding RNA from Neofelis nebulosa (Clouded leopard), 5236 nucleotides. RefSeq lists it as uncharacterized. The transcript is spliced from 4 exons. NCBI's taxonomy places the organism in Eukaryota, Metazoa, Chordata, Mammalia, Carnivora, Felidae. The record is from RefSeq and is a predicted model, not a curated record.
GCUGCCCGCCACCCUCCCACCUUUGCUCUCCCGGCCGCCUGGUUUCCCCCGGCUUGGGGGGAACCCCCUCUGCAGCCGCACUGCCGGUGUGUCCGAGAGUCCGGUGCGCUGGGACUGAGGAUGGACGAAGGGACCUGCCCGUUUCGUUGGUGCCCGGGCGAGAAGGAGCUGCUAGGCUAGGGGUACAGGUGGGACUCGAACCCAGGUGUGUCGGCCCUUAGCUGUGGUUAUUACCCUUACUGCCAUCAGCGUGCCUUCUACCUGCGGGGUCCAGGGCUUAGAGGGGGCGUGCAUUUCUUGUUUCAUUCUCCUGGCAGUCCUGAGGGAUGGGUGUCUCCAGAUUGCAGCGGGGGAAACUGAGGCUCAGAGAGGCGGGGGUGGUAAGAAGCCGAACUGCGAGACCAGAGCUUGCGUGCUUCGCCUGCAUUUACUUUGAGGGCUCAGCAGUUCACCCGGGAGACCCAGCAGGACCCACGAGGCGUCUCAUCCUUGGCCAGAACAGAACUUUUGAUUCUCUACCACCGACACUUCCUCUCCAGUCUUCCCAGGCUCAAUAAGUGGCAUUACUCUUCACCAGGUGGGACUACCUUCGUCUCUUAUCUGGACUGCUGCAGUAGCUCACCAGCAGAUGCCCUCUGCUCUGCGAUCUUCCCUACAACCCCCCCCCGCAGCCUAUCGAACACGAAGAAACACUUUCACGGUCGCCUCUCUCUAUCCCUGCCCAUCAACUCCUGGCAACCACUAGUCAACUUUCUAUCUCUACAGAUUUGCUGUUCUGGACGUGUCAUGUAGAUGGAAUCAUACAACGUGUAUUCUUCUAUGUUUGGCUUCUUUCAGUUCGAAGCCAGUGACUUUAAGUUUUAUCCAUGUUGUAGUAUACAUUAGUACUUCAUUUUUAUGUGUGAAUAAUAUUCUGUUCCAAAUACAACAGAACAUUAUUCACAGUUUAGAUAUCCGUCUUAUUUGGAAAUAUGUUUUCAGUUCUCUUAGGUAUGGUCCUCGGAGUGGACUUGAUGGGCCACAUGGUGACUCCAUCUUUAACUUUUUGAGGAACUGCCAGACUGUUUUCCAAAGUGGCUGCAUCAUUUGCAAUUACCUUUUAAGAAACCACACUUGUCCCCCCCCCCCAAAAAAAAAAGAAACUACACCUGUCAAGUUUUGACGUAGUACUAAAGAAGAUUAUCUGUAAUUAUUUGACAACACCAUUAAACUAUCCCUCCCAUUUCCAAAGACACAUCUGCGGGAGGUAGAUUUUCUUCAUAUGCUUCAACCCAAACAACAUAUUGCAACAGAUUGACUGCAGAGGGUGAUGUGAGAACCCAGGUGUCUUCCAUUCUGCCAGACGUUAAAAGGGUUUGCAGAAACGUAAAAGCAUCUUCUCACCAAAUUUCUUUCUUGUUUUGAAGAAGAUUUUUUUCAUAGACCAAAAACAAACAAACAAACAAAAAACACCUGUUGACAUGUAAUAGGUUCAUUGUUAUUUUUAAAUGAAUAGAUAAUUUAUUUAAAGUAAUUUAAGAAUUUAUUUUUUUAAUUUCCGAUAUGAUGAAUAUCAAUAGCCAUGAUCCUCAUGAACCACUAUAUCGAGAUUCUCCAUGUAAAGAAUAUAAAGGGUUCUCGGGACCCACCUCGGAGCCCGUUCUGGCUGAUGCCGUCUUACAUGCACUUGAGUUUGCUUCUCUUGCUCUCUGCUCCCUGCAGUUCUGGUCGCUGGCGCUCCUGUGCGACACGAGGCGAGCGUGCUUCGUUUUGCCUGGCCUCAGGUUCGUCACUUGUGGAACGGAGACGCGGUAUAGAAUAUAUGGGGUAGGGGCGUGUGUGUUGGGAUUGAAUUGAGAAGAGGCCACGAAAAAUUGUAAAGCUCAGUAUGGUCCCAAGCUCUGCCUCAAGUGAGAUCCUGAACUCGUGGAGCAAAUGCAGGUGCUGUUUUGCCUAGAGAAUAGCUGAUUAUCCUCUCUUGCUUUGAAUUCCUCUUUUCUUUGGUUUUCACGUUAAUUAAUGCUUUGGGGGAUAGUUUAAAUUGUAGCGAUAGAGAUGGGAGCUCAGGAGAAAUUAGUGACACUGGUGGGAAUGCCAUUGGGGGAGAGGAUUGGGUGCUGAGUGACUUGGGUGUGUUUAACAAAUGUUCAGUGAACCCCAGCUGUGCACUAGGUGCUGUCUGCUAGGUGAUGAAGAUGGAGGGCGGGGUGGUAAGGCACAAAGCAGACAAGGUCUUAUUCUCCGAGAGCCUGUAUUCUGCCAGGGAAUAAGGGAGCAGAAAUGGCAAAUGACCAGAAAUGUUGCAGGCUUAUGAUACGAAGAGAAAAACAACAAGAUGUUGUGGUGGAGCAGCAAGGUGCGCCUAACCCUGUGGGGCAUUUGAGCUCAGAUGGAAGGGUCCUUAGAGGUCCUCUUAUGUAAAUAAAUGUCCUCCUAAUGUUCCAGUAGAGCAGUUCCUGUAAGUUUCCGGGCUGUGUGCAUAACUCUUUGAAAAUAUGUUAAAAUCUUUAGCUUUAACGUAAUGAAGUGUGUAAGUUGCGGUAGACUAAGAGUGUAAGUUCGAUAUUUCUGAAGUGUCAUACAUCCUAAGAGCUGCUAAUGUUUUUGUUUUGUUGUUCACUGAUUAUCAAGAUAUAAAUAUUUUUCAGAAGGUUUGUCAAGUACUGCCCACGGUAGAGGAGGAAAACAGUGACCUGUAAUUUCAUCAACCAUGGGACAUUUAUCGCAUUUGACCAUUAUGAUAACCUCUGUAAAAUAGGACAGUUAUUGAAGUACUCCUUUUUAAGUCAGGCUAAGUAACAUAUGUUAGUAAUAAAAGCAUUACAGCAACUCCUUAUAAUUUGUGAAGAAAGUUCAGAUGUUAUUUUGUUUUGCUCCUUUUUUGUUCCUGCUCUUUUCUUUGUACCCUAGCGUACCCUGUGUGGACAUCCAUUGUGGUUAAUUGCACUGAUUUCUGUGCAUGCUUCUUUAUCGACUGCUCUGGGGACUCCUUGAGAAUAGAGAGCCUGACUGCCUUUGUCUGUAUAUCCUUAAUGCAUUGUAAGGACUUGUUACCUUUGCGGAGGGAACACACACACACACACACACACACACACACACACACACAGGUGCAUGCACGUGUGUAUAUAUACAGGCCUAGAAUUGAGACAACCUAGUAGGGUAGAUCAGUUUGGUAGGGGCUUAAAACCAUGGAAGGGAUCCCUUCAGUGCCCCUCCCCCCCCACGCUUGGUGAGACUGGACCCUCAGAAAAAUGAAUGUGUGUUAAUUCAUUACAUAAGUCACCAUGUGUUACACUAUCUCUUGUAUAGCUUUUUUUUUUUUUUUUUUUUUUUGAUUGUACAACUCUUACCCAGUCUUUUUGGCAAGGUCUUAAAUAUUCGUGUUUGAAAACAAGUUCAAGUGCUGGAAGAAUUGCCUUCCUGUUUACCAGGAGUGUAGUUAUGUGGAAGAGGUCCUUCUGGGAUGCACUUGGCUGUGAACACUUGUUUUCUUUCGGGAAGACUAACAGGAUAGUUUGAGAGUAAUGUUAGGAGUAACUCUUAAUCUUGUUGUGAGAUCCAGUGUACUUUGACCAGCUGCUUACUAGUCUAAAUGGCUAUUAAUUUAUCUAGGGCAGCAUUCGAAGCUCAGUUUUGAUUGGACAUAGCUUGACUAUGCAGCUAACUGAUAGGGUCCCAGCAGAGCAGAGGAAUAUAAAUGUCCAGGUAGUUAAACUGUAUGUAGCUAAGUAAUUUGCCCCAUAUUCCCAAGGCUUCUGCACUUAGCCCCUCUUCUUGCACCAACCAAGGAGUAUAGAUGUUGUUUAUAUAUAACCCAUCCUGUUCCUGCCAGUGCCAGUUUUUGCCUAUAAAUGAAACAAAAGGGAGAGGCAGAAUAGAAAUUAAAGCCACUAAGUGUGACUGUUGUGCACUUAGUAAAUUAAAGAACAAAAUCCAGUACUGGUGCAGUGGUGGUAAAAUUGCCAAAUGCUGGUGAUGUGACAAAUGGUGUUUAUAACUUUGGGGAAGUUCUUUGGCGCAUAUAGCAUUAACUGGUUUUGAUAAUUAUUACUACAAGUUAUUGAAGAGAAUAAACAAACUUUAUUGCAAUGCCACCUCUGAUAACAAAGGUGUUAUUCUGUAGAAGAUGUGUUUACUAAAUUAUGGCAUGGGAACGUGAUAGGUUAUUAUAUAGCCUUGAAGAUGUUCUUGUCAAGAUAAUGUAGGUACUUGGAUGGCUUACCAUCCAGUUAGUAUCAGGAAGAGUUGAAUGCAAAGCCUCCUACUUUGUAGUGUAAACGCCAGGGUCACAGGCUAGAAGUCAAUGUAUAAAUAUUGAUACAGCUUUGUUUAAGCAGUGGGGUUGUGGGCAGUUUUUGUCUUUAAUGUUGGUAAUCAUGCUUUUUUAAAGUAAAAUUUUUAUUUUGGGGCAAUUACAGAUAUAAAGAAAAGUUUCAAGGAUAAUACAGAGUUUGUGUAGAUCCCUCAGUGUCUUCUCAUAUUAAUGAUAAUUAUGCUUCUAUCAUUUUAUUUUAAAGUGAAGAUAUCCCAAAGAUGACAAAAGGUGUUAACAAUCACCUCUGUCCCUUCCACGUCUGUAGCAUAUCUUUCCAUACUUUUAUCUCAGCUCUUACAAACUUGUAUGUGUAUGUUAUUAUAAUUGUUAUAGUGUGUGAUAAUAUGCAUGUUCUUUUGUAACUUGCUGGUAUCACUUAAUAAUAUAUUGUGGGCAUCCAGUGGUCUACACACAGUGGUCUCUGUAAUAAAAUCAGCUGGGUGGUCUCACAAUACUGAUUCCUAGGUCCCAUUCACAGAGAUUUUUACUCAGUCUGAAGUUGGGCUCAGGAAUCAGAAUCUGUUUUAAAGACCCUGUAUAAUUUAAUGUGCAAGUUCAGAUUUAAGAACUUACUCUAGAUAAAUAUGUAUCAUUCACAUCUGAGUUGUUUGUAGUGGCCAAAGCUAUGCCAGUGUUUUUCAGUCAUUUCUCCGUUGGGUUUCUAGGUUUUUCCUACCAUGUACACGGUGCUGUAGUAAACAUCCUGGUGCAUCCUUACACAGUGGUACUGUCUAUAGGAUAAGCUCAAAAAUGUGUUUAUGGGCUGCCUGGGUGGCCCAGUCAGUUGAGUGUCUGACUUCAGCUCAGGUCAUGAUCUCAUGGUCUGUGAGUUCGAGCCCCGCGUCGGGCUCUGUGCUGACCGCUCAGAGCCUGGAGCCUGUUUCGGAUUCUGUGUCUCCCUCUCUCUCUCUGACCCUCCCCCGUUCAUGCUCUGUCUCUCUG